UCCGGCGUUGGGUAAUUGGCAGCCCGCCAACCUUUGGAGUUGGUUUGUCCUGGUUCGAGUCCAGGCGCCGGAACCA
RNAcentral lists this transfer RNA (76 nucleotides) under Herbidospora galbida. RNAcentral describes it as "Herbidospora sp. NEAU-GS14 tRNA-Gln". It matches the Rfam family "tRNA". From Rfam's summary of the family: Transfer RNA (tRNA) molecules are approximately 80 nucleotides in length. Their secondary structure includes four short double-helical elements and three loops (D, anti-codon, and T loops). Further hydrogen bonds mediate the characteristic L-shaped molecular structure. tRNAs have two regions of fundamental functional importance: the anti-codon, which is responsible for specific mRNA codon recognition, and the 3' end, to which the tRNAs corresponding amino acid is attached (by aminoacyl-tRNA synthetases). tRNAs cope with the degeneracy of the genetic code in two manners: having more than one tRNA (with a specific anti-codon) for a particular amino acid; and 'wobble' base-pairing, i.e. permitting non-standard base-pairing at the 3rd anti-codon position. The record is from RNAcentral. Lineage: Bacteria; Bacillati; Actinomycetota; Actinomycetes; Streptosporangiales; Streptosporangiaceae. RNAcentral also lists the same sequence under 3 other names.